This 57-nucleotide transfer RNA is filed under the name Urocitellus parryii (Arctic ground squirrel). Its description in RNAcentral is "Spermophilus parryii (Arctic ground squirrel) tRNA". It matches the Rfam family "tRNA", at positions 8 to 63 of the family's 71-position model. Rfam says of the family: Transfer RNA (tRNA) molecules are approximately 80 nucleotides in length. RNAcentral also lists the same sequence under 2 other names. Lineage: Eukaryota; Metazoa; Chordata; Mammalia; Rodentia; Sciuridae. The record is from Rfam by way of RNAcentral.
UAGUUCAGUGGUAGAGCACUUGCCUAGCAUGUAGGAAGCCCUGGGUUCAAUCCCCAG